CUUUGACCUCAAAUCAGGUAGGAUUACCCGCUGAACUUAAGCAUAUCAAUAAGCGGAGGA
RNAcentral lists this ribosomal RNA (60 nucleotides) under Candida buenavistaensis. Its description in RNAcentral is "partial 26S ribosomal RNA". It matches the Rfam family "Eukaryotic large subunit ribosomal RNA", at positions 1 to 57 of the family's 3401-position model. The record is from RNAcentral. Lineage: Eukaryota; Fungi; Ascomycota; Pichiomycetes; Serinales; Debaryomycetaceae.